AGAGUUUGAUCAUGGCUCAGAAUCAACGCUGGCGGCGCGCUUAACACAUGCAAGUCGCACGAGAAAGCGGGAGCAAUCCCGCAAGUACAGUGGCGUACGGGUGAGUAACACGUGGGUGAUCUACCCUUUAGUGGGGAAUAACGCUGGGAAACCGGCGCUAAUACCGCGUAAGCUCGAGAGAGGAAAGCAGCAAUGCGCUGAAGGAGGAGCCCGCGGCCGAUUAGCUAGUUGGGAGGGUAAAAGCCUACCAAGGCAGAGAUCGGUAGCCGGCCUGAGAGGGCACACGGCCACACUGGCACUGAAACACGGGCCAGACUCCUACGGGAGGCAGCAGUGGGGAAUCUUGCACAAUGGGGGAAACCCUGAUGCAGCGACGCCGCGUGAGCGAUGAAGCCCUUCGGGGUGUAAAGCUCUUUCGUCAGGGACGAUAAUGACGGUACCUGGAGAAGCAGCUGCGGCUAACUACGUGCCAGCAGCCGCGGUA
Molecule: ribosomal RNA, 484 nt
Filed under: uncultured Acidobacteriota bacterium
Lineage: Bacteria; Pseudomonadati; Acidobacteriota
Description: bacterial SSU rRNA
Rfam family: Bacterial small subunit ribosomal RNA
Source: RNAcentral